CUUCAGGACGGACGAGGACGCGCAGCUCGGUUCUGAUGCGGAAACAACCGAGAAGGAGGAAGCGCACGACUGCACACCUGCGGAGACCUGCGGGUGGUGAGAGCAGGAGGCAGCUCUUCAGUGGCCGACCUGCCGCCGCCUGCUGUCCACUAGAGAGCGCUGCUCCAUCAGGUCAGACCUCCACCUUCUAGCUGCAUCUCUAGUCUGCAUCCUUGUAGCCUCCAGCCUUCAGCAGCCUUCGUAGACCUGAGCUGUUCCUCCAACAACCACACAGGCUGAACCAGAAGGUCUCUGACAUGGGACGGUCUGUCCUACGGAGGACAGCUUUACCUUCACUGCUCCUGUUGCCUAGCAACCUGCUGGCCCGAAAAACGUAUAAAGUACAGAUAAGGAAGAUAAACUUCUUAGUUCAUUUAAUUUAGGGAGAUACGCUCCUCUUCUGGAGCGUGAUAUAUUUCAGGCUGAGGGAAGAACGUUACUCACUUAGUGAUAUUUGUGAGCUCACUUUGAUCGAUUUCUGUUCAUAAUAUGAAGUAUAAACUUAAUAUAAAACAACUCAGGAAGAUAUUAGUCAGCCUCUAAAGUGUGAAACUUAAGGCAUUAAAGUGACUUUUCACUAAUAACUACAGACGAACUGCUCGUUGUGUGUUUGUUUAAAUGUGUGUUGGUACAUUGAUGUUCAUAAGAACAUGGACCCAGGAGGGUUCAGGUUCAUAGAUUUCAUAAACUAAGAUGUGAUAUGUUAUAUAUUAUAUUUAGGGCCGGGACUUUAGCGCGUUAAUUACAAUAAUUAAUUACAAUGUGAAUUAAGAUUAAUUAAUUACACAAAAAAUAACACAGACAUUUUUUCCGCAUUUUUACACUUAUUUUUUGCACCGCGGAACGUUUCUCACUGGAUGAGUUUCGGAGGACCGAUUAUACUGGAGCACCAACUAGCGUUCAUGACUUCAGACAACAACAAACCACAGUGAACAUGAACGAAGAAGCUGACGAGACCGUGUCGGGUGGCCCCGUGAAUGGGAAAUCUUAUUGUAAUAAACACAGGGAUGAAAGCGUCGAUAAGAGCGUGGUUGUGUGCAAGCUGUGCAACAAGGAAUUCACAUCGAGCCUCAAGUAUCACCUCAACGCAAAACAAUUAGCAGCUAGCGUGGACGUUAGCCCGACGAGUACAAGGACCCACACCCAACCCACACUGCACCAGAUGACUGGUUUAAGGACCAGGGUAACUAAGUCCACGUCUGAAAAAAUAACCAAUGUUCUGAAUGUACUUGAAAGUAUUGGUCUACUUAAAAAAACAUAGUUUACAGAAGGUCUACUUACCUAUAGGCUACCUGAAUUUCUGAAAGUACUAUAUUUCUAAAUAUGCUAUUGCUACACCUGUCUGCUGGAAUUGGUUGAACAAAAAUAAAAAUCCAUGUGAAAAAAAUUACUUCUCACUGUUCUCAGGUCAAAUAUUUAUGCAAUUAAAAUGCGAUUCAUUUCGAUUAAUUAAUUACAAAGGCUCUAAUUAAUUAGAUUAAUAUUUUUAAUCGAGUCCCGGCCCUAAUUAUAUUAUAACAUUCCUAUCGGUAGAUAUUCGAGUGAAUUCUAUUACGUUACAUUUAAAAGUAAACUUGGCCCGCACUGCAUGCUGGGAUAUGCUGGGCCGUUAAGGAUAGAUCUGAUUACAUCACAUGUCAUUUAGCUGAUUUUAUCCGAAGUGACUUACAUUGCAUUAUAACCCAUGUGUUCUUGCCUGGGGAGCAGUUAGGGGUCAGGUGUCUGGCUCAGGGACACUUUGACGUGGCACAUGGAGCAGCUGGGAUUCAAACCAUCAACCUUCCAGCUUCCAGCACAUCACAGUACUUCAUGCGCCACAAUCACAUCUGAGUGUCCUUCACAUCCCUCCAUGGGGUCAUCCUCAGCUCACUGGAUGAAGCUCUGGUUUUCAGCUGAAGGACUGCUGGUCCCCUUUGAUCCAUCACUUUAUACGUUAUAUCUUGUAUACUCCCCACAUUAUAAAUAAUAUUAAAUAACAAUAAGAAACGUGACCCAUCCAUUCAUUAGAGAAAUAAGUAACUUUUUUUUUUCCAAGUACAUUUUGCAUGUUGCAGGGUUUGAAUUCAAAUUCAGUUCAAAUAUGUCUACUGAUGAUAUAAAAGGAUACAAUAAAAUAAAAUGAAUGCUGUUAAACCAGUGUUUUGAAUGAAUUAAUAAAAAAUUCUGAUUGGUAUUCAGAAGGAAAGUUUUCAGUGUUGGAGGGUUAAAUGAAAAUAACACAGCGAUCAGCUUGUAAAACUCAUUUUAAAACAAACACAAAACAAGUAUGUCUUGUUUCCACUUUCUGAACAAACCAUAUUAAAAAAAGAUGUAUUUUAAGACACAAACAUUGAAAAGUUUCAUCCAGUGAACUUUGUUUCUUUGAGCCGCUGGAAAAAACAGAUAAAAAUACCUACAACGGUACCCAUGCAUAUUAGUGAGCACGCACGCACACACACACACACACACACACACACACACACACACACACACAAACACACUCAGUUGAGCAACAUGCCUG
Pungitius pungitius (ninespine stickleback) is the source of this 2539-nucleotide long non-coding RNA. RefSeq lists it as uncharacterized. The transcript has 3 exons. Lineage: Eukaryota; Metazoa; Chordata; Actinopteri; Perciformes; Gasterosteidae. The record is from RefSeq and is a predicted model, not a curated record.